GGGAGUGAAAUAGAACCUGAAACCCUGCACUUACAAGCUGUGGAAGCACAUUUCUUGUGUGACCGCGUACUUUUUGUAGAACGGGCCAACGAGUUACGUUAAGUAGCAAGGUUAAGCACUUAAGGUGCGGAGCCGUAGCGAAAGCGAGUUUUAACUGAGCGUUCAGUUACUUGACGUAGACCCGAAACCGGGCGACCUACCCAGGAGCAGGAUGAAGCGAAAGUAAAAUUUCGGGGAGGUCCGAACCCACGAGCGUUGAAA
This 261-nucleotide ribosomal RNA is filed under the name Clostridioides difficile. RNAcentral describes it as "partial 23S ribosomal RNA". It matches the Rfam family "Bacterial large subunit ribosomal RNA", at positions 534 to 794 of the family's 2925-position model. The record is from RNAcentral. Lineage: Bacteria; Bacillati; Bacillota; Clostridia; Peptostreptococcales; Peptostreptococcaceae.